GUCGAGCGAAUCAAUAGGAGCUUGCUCCUGUUGGUUAGCGGCGGACGGGUGAGUAACACGUGGGCAACCUGCCUGUAAGACUGGGAUAACUUCGGGAAACCGGAGCUAAUACCGGAUAAUCCUUUUCCUCUCAUGAGGAAAAGCUGAAAGUCGGUUUCGGCUGACACUUACAGAUGGGCCCGCGGCGCAUUAGCUAGUUGGUGAGGUAACGGCUCACCAAGGCGACGAUGCGUAGCCGACCUGAGAGGGUGAUCGGCCACACUGGGACUGAGACACGGCCCAGACUCCUACGGGAGGCAGCAGUAGGGAAUCUUCCGCAAUGGACGAAAGUCUGACGGAGCAACGCCGCGUGAGCGAUGAAGGCCUUCGGGUCGUAAAGCUCUGUUGUUAGGGAAGAACAAGUAUCGGAGUAACUGCCGGUACCUUGACGGUACCUAACCAGAAAGCCACGGCUAACUACGUGCCAGCAGCCGCGGUAAUACGUAGGUGGCAAGCGUUGUCCGGAAUUAUUGGGCGUAAAGCGCGCGCAGGCGGUCCUUUAAGUCUGAUGUGAAAGCCCACGGCUCAACCGUGGAGGGUCAUUGGAAACUGGGGGACUUGAGUGCAGAAGAGGAAAGCGGAAUUCCACGUGUAGCGGUGAAAUGCGUAGAGAUGUGGAGGAACACCAGUGGCGAAGGCGGCUUUCUGGUCUGUAACUGACGCUGAGGCGCGAA
Molecule: ribosomal RNA, 713 nt
Filed under: Neobacillus drentensis
Lineage: Bacteria; Bacillati; Bacillota; Bacilli; Caryophanales; Bacillaceae
Description: bacterial SSU rRNA
Rfam family: Bacterial small subunit ribosomal RNA
Source: RNAcentral